Molecule: RNA transcript, 1799 nt
Organism: Anastrepha obliqua
Lineage: Eukaryota; Metazoa; Arthropoda; Insecta; Diptera; Tephritidae
Gene name: ribonucleoprotein RB97D-like
Exons: 6
Source: RefSeq, a predicted model, not a curated record
AUUUUAUUUCAUUCUAAACCAGUGCUCGCCUUUUAAUAGUUCGUUUUUGUGAAAUUAGCGGUAAGCGUUUUUAUUUAUCAAGAGGAAAAAUACCUGGUUAAUUUAAUUAAAGACAUUAACUUUUGCACCAAAAUGAUCAAAGCACCAGAAAAUAUUUAUCCAGCGGGUAUUAAGCUAGAGGAACAUCAGAAUGGAGGAGAAGUGGAAAUUGAUCAUCUUCGCAAAAUGUUCAUUGGCGGUUUGUCGGCAGUAACAACCGAAGAGUCACUUCGCGCUUUCUAUAAGCAAUGGGGCGAUGUAGUUGACGCGAUAGUAAUGCGUGAUCCAGCAACAAAGCGUUCCCGGGGAUUUGGAUUUAUUACAUACUCUGACACUUAUAUGGUUGAUCGCGCACAAGCUGCACGUCCACAUGUAAUUGACGGAAAGCAGGUAGAUUCAAAGCGUGCUUUGCCCAAGCCUGAACUUGGAAAGCCAGAAGCUAGUACUACAGUAAAAAAAAUCUUUGUUGGUGGCUUAAAAGAAAAUCACGAUGAACAGACUUUAACCGAACACUUUUCACAAUUCGGUAAUGUAGUUGGAGUUAAAAUUCUAACGGAUAAAACAACUGGUCGCAAACGGGGUUUUGCAUUUGUAGAGUUUGAUGACUAUGAUGCAGUGGACAAAGCAGUGUUGCACAAAAAUCACACAAUUAAAUAUGUUCUGGUAGAUGUGAAAAAAUCAGUUUACAAACAAGAGUUGGCUAAGAAACGCGCCACGCAGGCACAACAGGCAGGCGUUCCCCCAGGCGGAGCACCGCCAGCAAACGGCUACCAACAACCUGCCGCGCCCUAUGCCCAACAGCCAGCUUAUGGAUAUCCACCACAAAUGGGUCCACCGGCAUACAAUGGAUGGGGAGGAUAUCCCCAAGCUGCGCCACCAGCUGCGUACCAACAACCACCUCCAGCUGCACCUGUCGCGGGCUAUGGCGCUUAUACAGCUCCACCUCAAAACGGUGGUGCUCCCGGCUGGGGUGCGCCUGCCGCUUAUGCAGCACCUGCAGCUUGGCCGCAAAAUGGUUACGCAGCAGCCCCACCCGCUGCUGCACCUGUGCCACCACCAGCUGCCGCACCUGCAGCUGCACCUGCCGUAAAUAGUUGGAAUGGUGCUGCUGCUGCUCCAACUCCAGCCGCUCCUCAAAAUUUUGGUGAUUACCAACAAUCAUACAACGGUGGCCCACAAAAAGCAGGCAGCUUACAAGGAAACAGAAUGAACCCAUAUAGUGUGUCGUCAGCGCCUAGUUAUGGGUCAGCCGCUUAUGCCGGUUACCUGAAUACGUCAAAAUCGACGGGCAUAUGUUCAUCUGUAAACUCUGCUUAUAAAACACAGACAAAGCACUUAUACUAGACUAUAGAAAUAAAGCGGAUUAAAACUACCAUUAUGUACAAUAUAAAGCUAUUCAGUAAGAAAAUUGUCUUAAAAAACGGAAGGGGGAAAUACUUCGAAAUUAUAUAUGAAUGCGUGUUGCCACAGGCAUUUAAGAUGUAUGCUUAUACAUAAAAUUAAAGUACUACUACAUAAAUAACCAGAAUUAUUUUAAGAGAAACAAGUAAAAAAAUUCAAACCAACCCAAAUCCAACCCCAUGAAAGAAAGAUUUACAUAAAAUGCACUACGUACAUUACAUAGAGCAAUACAAGAACAAAACGUAAAAACGCACUUCAUUAAGGAUGAAUAUCGAUAUUUAUAGUAUCAAUAUAUGUAUGAAUCUAUGUAUUUUUAAACUAUAAUUUAAAUAAUCCAUAUGCUGGUAUAUACACAUUAA